Molecule: ribosomal RNA, 253 nt
Filed under: uncultured bacterium
Lineage: Bacteria
Description: partial 16S ribosomal RNA
Rfam family: Bacterial small subunit ribosomal RNA
Source: RNAcentral
UACGGAGGGGGCUAGCGUUGUCCGGAUUUAUUGGGCGUAAAGAGCGUGUAGGCGGCCAUACAGGUCAGCUGUGAAAACUCGAGGCUCAACCUCGAGACGUCGGUUGAAACCGUAUGGCUAGAGUCCGGAAGAGGAGAGUGGAAUUCCCGGUGUAGCGGUGAAAUGCGCAGAUAUCGGGAAGAACACCCGUGGCGAAGGCGGCUCUCUGGGACGGUACUGACGCUGAGACGCGAAAGCGUGGGGAGCGAACAGG